This 461-nucleotide ribosomal RNA is filed under the name uncultured bacterium. RNAcentral describes it as "partial 16S ribosomal RNA". It matches the Rfam family "Bacterial small subunit ribosomal RNA", at positions 338 to 795 of the family's 1533-position model. The record is from RNAcentral.
CCUACGGGAGGCAGCAGUGAGGAAUAUUGGUCAAUGGACGAGAGUCUGAACCAGCCAAGUAGCGUGAAGGAUGACUGCCCUAUGGGUUGUAAACUUCUUUUAUAUGGGAAUAAAUUGUUCCACGUGUGGGAUUUGGUAUGUACCAUAUGAAUAAGGAUCGGCUAACUCCGUGCCAGCAGCCGCGGUAAUACGGAGGAUCCGAGCGUUAUCCGGAUUUAUUGGGGUUAAAGGGUGCGUAGGUGGAUUGUUAAGUUAGUUGUGAAAGUUUGCGGGUCAACCGUAAAAUUGCAGUUGUAACUGGCAGUCUUGAGUACAGUAGAGGUGGGCGGAAUUCGUGGUGUAGCGGUGAAAUGCUUAGAUAUCACGAAGAACUCCGAUUGCGAAGGCAGCUCACUGGACUGCAACUGACACUGAGGCUCGAAAGUGUGGGUAUCAAACAGGAUUAGAUACCCCGGGUAGUC